RNAcentral lists this ribosomal RNA (426 nucleotides) under uncultured bacterium. RNAcentral's name for it is "bacterial SSU rRNA". It matches the Rfam family "Bacterial small subunit ribosomal RNA", at positions 355 to 774 of the family's 1533-position model. The record is from RNAcentral.
UGGGGAAUCUUGCGCAAUGGGCGAAAGCCUGACGCAGCGACGCCGCGUGAGUGAUGAAGGCCUUCGGGUUGUAAAGCUCUGUGGAGGGGGACGAAUAAGGCAUGGCUAAUAUCCAUGUUGAUGACGGUACCUCUUUAGCAAGCACCGGCUAACUCUGUGCCAGCAGCCGCGGUAAGACAGAGGGUGCAAACGUUGUUCGGAAUUACUGGGCGUAAAGCGCGUGUAGGCUGCUCCGAAAGUCGGAUGUGAAAGCCCUGGGCUCAACCUAGGAAGUGCAUUCGAAACUUCGGAGCUGGAGUCCUGGAGAGGAUCGCGGAAUUCUCGGUGUAGAGGUGAAAUUCGUAGAUAUCGAGAGGAACACCGGUGGCGAAGGCGGCGAUCUGGACAGUGACUGACGCUGAGACGCGAAAGCGUGGGGAGCAAACA